This 506-nucleotide ribosomal RNA is filed under the name uncultured bacterium. RNAcentral's name for it is "partial 16S ribosomal RNA". It matches the Rfam family "Bacterial small subunit ribosomal RNA", at positions 28 to 506 of the family's 1533-position model. The record is from RNAcentral.
GACGAACGCUGGCGGCGUGCCUAAUACAUGCAAGUCGAACGCAUUUUCUUUCACCGUAGCUUGCUACACCGAAAGAAAAUGAGUGGCGAACGGGUGAGUAACACGUGGGUAACCUGCCCAUCAGCGGGGGAUAACACUUGGAAACAGGUGCUAAUACCGCAUAAUUCCAUUUACCGCAUGGUAAAUGGAUGAAAGGCGCUUUUGCGUCACUGAUGGAUGGACCCGCGGUGCAUUAGCUAGUUGGUGGGGUAACGGCCUACCAAGGCUGCGAUGCAUAGCCGACCUGAGAGGGUGAUCGGCCACACUGGGACUGAGACACGGCCCAGACUCCUACGGGAGGCAGCAGUAGGGAAUCUUCGGCAAUGGACGCAAGUCUGACCGAGCAACGCCGCGUGAGUGAAGAAGGUUUUCGGAUCGUAAAACUCUGUUGUUAGAGAAGAACAAGGAUGAGAGUGGAAAGUUCAUCCCUUGACGGUAUCUAACCAGAAAGCCACGGCUAACUACGU